This 86-nucleotide transfer RNA is filed under the name Human alphaherpesvirus 1 (Herpes simplex virus type 1). Its description in RNAcentral is "tRNA-Pro". Lineage: Duplodnaviria; Heunggongvirae; Peploviricota; Herviviricetes; Herpesvirales; Orthoherpesviridae. The record is from RNAcentral.
GGCGGCCUGGGCGACAGCCGCCCGGGCCUCUGGGGGGCGCCCGAGNCGGAGGAGGCGCGACGCCGGUUCGAGGCCUCGGGCGCCCC